CGCAGCACCCGGCAGUGCUGGGAGCUUCGCGCUUCUGCGCGGCAGCUCCGGGGAGACCCAGUGCGCUCGGGGCGAAGCGCAAACCUGUUGGCUUCUUCUCCCGAGGGCACGCCUGGCGCGGGAGGGCGGGCGCACCUUUCAGUUUUCCUGGUUGUUCAGAGUUGUGGGGGCUCCGAGUGGGAAGCGGGGAGGACAGCCUGUUUCGUCUCCGGAUGGGAGAAUAAGGACGGCACGGAGAGUUCAGAAGGAACGUGGCAGGGCAGAAAGUACAAGGACUAACAGACACCAUGGCCAGUCUGUCCCUCAUCGAAAAGCCGAGCCGGAGAUGUUGCUGAAUGUGCACAGGGUCGGGUCGUAUCGCUGGUGCUGGAGGAGUCAGGAUUCCUGGACACGGUGGCCCCGCUCCAGAGUCCACGGUGCAGCCCAGCCCUACGCGGCCUGUAAAGUGAUAACGUCCAGAGGCCUUCCACCACAGCCCAGUCCAUUCCAGCCAAGAAAAGAAUCAAUGUUUCUGAUUCUCCUGUGUGAUCCCAGUCACAGCUUUAACCAGAGGUCCCUGUGCAGGUGGAAGGAGAAGACUGCUUUUGAUUCUUCCAGACAGAGGCUGUGGCUCCUUCCUGGUCCAUGUGCUUCCGUCCUUUGAAAGCUUGCUUUGAUGCCCUUGGACCAGAGCAGCCUAUAAAGAUAUGCUUGGACUUAAAGCACAAUUGCUUCUUCCUAGACAUGAGCUUUGGAGAAUUGAGUAACCUCGAGCUGGAAAGCAGUACACUUUGAAGCUUUAGAUCUUGUGUUAUUGUGAAGUCCAACUCUGGGAGCCAGUGUAACAUACUGAUUUCAGACCUGAGCACUGGGGUAAGACUGUGUGUGUCAAAAUCUUUAAUCCUUAGAUAAAUGACUUAAUCUCCCUUAGCCUCAGUUUCCUUAUCUGGAAAGUGAGGUUAAUAAAAUCUUUGCCUCAUAAAGAUUAGUUUCAGAAUUAAAUGGUAUUACAUGCUCAGCUAGAAAUUAUAGUAGGUACCCCCCAAAAUAUUUGCUACUAUUACAAGUUGAGUAUCCUUUAUCCAAAAUGCUUAGGAUCAGAAAUAUUUCAAGUUUCAGAUUUUUUAAAACUUUGGAAUACUUUCCUAUAUAUUAUAAGAUGUCUUAGAGACGGGUCCCAAGUCUCAACCUGAAAUUCAUUUAUGUUUCAUGUAGACCUUGAAGGUAUAGCUUGAAGGUAACAUCAUACAAUUAUAAAAUGUGUUUUGACUGUGACCUGUCACAUGAAAUCAAGUAUGGAAUUUUCCACUUGUGAUGUCAUGUCAGGGCUUAAAAAGUUUUGAAUUUUGGUGCAUAUCAGGCUUUGGAUAUUUGGACUAUGGAUGCUCAAUG
RNAcentral lists this long non-coding RNA (1371 nucleotides) under Heterocephalus glaber (naked mole-rat). Its description in RNAcentral is "lncRNA (ENSHGLG00000029355.2)". The record is from RNAcentral. Lineage: Eukaryota; Metazoa; Chordata; Mammalia; Rodentia; Bathyergidae.